Molecule: small RNA, 188 nt
Filed under: Arabidopsis thaliana (thale cress)
Lineage: Eukaryota; Viridiplantae; Streptophyta; Magnoliopsida; Brassicales; Brassicaceae
Description: ATSL151020
Source: RNAcentral
AUUUAAAUUUUUGUACAGUUUUAUGUAAUCAAACUGGAUUUAGAGUUUUUUUUGUUUAUCUCAUGAUUGAGUGGGUGAUUGGUUGGGCUGUAACUGUAAAGUUUUUGCUGUAGAGAUUUUGGUGUAGCUGUGUUAGCUGUAACUGUAACUUUUAUUGUUGUAGAAUUAUUGCUGUAAGUUUUUUUAUU